UCCCUCGUCGUCUAUCCGGUAGGACGCAGCGCUCUGGACGCUGAAAGCAUUGGUUCGAAUCCAUGCGAGGGAGCCG
This 76-nucleotide transfer RNA is filed under the name Micromonosporaceae bacterium. RNAcentral's name for it is "tRNA-Gln". It matches the Rfam family "tRNA". Rfam says of the family: Transfer RNA (tRNA) molecules are approximately 80 nucleotides in length. Lineage: Bacteria; Bacillati; Actinomycetota; Actinomycetes; Micromonosporales; Micromonosporaceae. The record is from RNAcentral.